CCCCAUUCUUCAAGAGACCUAACCACAAUGAGAGCCCUCCCCUUUUCAUAAGACCUAGCGCUGUUUCCUUCAAGAAAAAAAAAAACAGACACAAAGAACCGAACAGAGGCCUCUUCUUCUGGAUUCCUUCUUCUUCUCACACCCACAUACACUUCUCCCACACCUCAACCAUCACACUCACACAAAGAUGAAGGCUCACCCACUCACGUUUUGAACACACAUAGCUGAUAAGAAAGCUAGGAAAAUUAAAAUGAAGAUCUGAAAAUCGCAAAAGCUUGAAAAACAAAAGAAAACUGGGAUUUCGAAGAAGAGUUGGGGAGUAAUUGUCCGCUGAACUUUCGAACUCUUCCCUGGAUGUAUACAAGGCUGUUGAAUCUCAAAUUUAUGGGUGUUUGCUACGGUUCUGUGCUGGAAAUUAUUCGUUGCUGAUGUUGUUUGGCUAAGAGCUGAGCUUCCUAAUUCCAGUUAUUGCUUCUCCUUCAGAGUCAGAGAUCCAUUUUCUCCCAUUUGUUUGUUGUGACCAGGGCUGAGAGUGCUUGCAAUCCUGUAAGGUUUUUCGCAAUUUUGUCCACUCAGAGGUCUGGUAGUAGAUGGUUUGAAACAUUGCUGAACAACCAUAUGAAUAUAAGCUCUAGUGGGGAGAUUUUUUUGUUAAAGCCCGGAAAAGUAAUGCAUCGAUGAUUUUGGAAACAUUGGACAAACUCUAUAACCUAGAGUUUUUGACCAGCGCUUCCAAGAAUGAAUGCACAGCUGCAGUUGUACUGAAGUGAAUGCUUAAUCAGAUCCAGGUACAUCUUAUCAGUACCGGCACUAGUGCGCUGAGUUUGCUUUUGGAGACUUCAAGGUACACAUGCCCGCAUCCGCAGGCCUCGAAGUCCCCUUUUAUCCCGUUCUCCCUUAUCUCUUUAAACUUUUAUACACAGUGAUGUACAGAAUUGUUCAGCACUGUACUUAGAGCUUGUGACUUAUAUCUCACCAGGUUUGGAAGUUGUACGUAUUGAGUUACAUAUUUUAUUUAUGAGAUUGCCGAAAUUUUGAGA
Long non-coding RNA from Nicotiana attenuata, 1040 nucleotides. RefSeq lists it as uncharacterized. The transcript is spliced from 2 exons. The record is from RefSeq and is a predicted model, not a curated record. NCBI's taxonomy places the organism in Eukaryota, Viridiplantae, Streptophyta, Magnoliopsida, Solanales, Solanaceae.